GAUGAACGCUGGCGGCGUGCCUAAUACAUGCAAGUCGAGCGAACGGACGAGAAGCUUGCUUCUCUGAUGUUAGCGGCGGACGGGUGAGUAACACGUGGAUAACCUACCUAUAAGACUGGGAUAACUUCGGGAAACCGGAGCUAAUACCGGAUAAUAUUUUGAACCGCAUGGUUCAAAAGUGAAAGACGGUCUUGCUGUCACUUAUAGAUGGAUCCGCGCUGCAUUAGAUAGUUGGUAAGGUAACGGCUUACCAAGGCAACGAUGCAUAGCCGACCUGAGAGGGUGAUCGCCCACACUGGAACUGAGCCACGGUCCAGACUCCUACGGGAGGCAGCAGUAGGGAAUCUUCCGCAACGGGCGAAAGCCUGACGGAGCAACGCCGAGUGAGUGAUGACGGUCUUCGGAUCGUAAAACUCUGUUAUUAGGGAAGAACAUAUGUGUAAGUAACUGUGCACAUCUUGACGGUACCUAAUCAGAAAGCAACGGCUAACUACGUG
This 497-nucleotide ribosomal RNA is filed under the name uncultured bacterium. RNAcentral describes it as "partial 16S ribosomal RNA". It matches the Rfam family "Bacterial small subunit ribosomal RNA", at positions 28 to 507 of the family's 1533-position model. The record is from RNAcentral.